AUUGAACGCUGGCGGCAUGCCUUACACAUGCAAGUCGAACGGCAGCACGGGAGCAAUCCUGGUGGCGAGUGGCGAACGGGUGAGUAAUAUAUCGGAACGUGCCCAGUCGUGGGGAUAACGUAGCGAAAGCUACGCUAAUACCGCAUACGAUCUAUGGAUGAAAGCGGGGGAUCGCAAGACCUCGCGCGAUUGGAGCGGCCGAUAUCAGAUUAGGUAGUUGGUGAGGUAAAGGCUCACCAAGCCGACGAUCUGUAGCUGGUCUGAGAGGACGACCAGCCACACUGGAACUGAGACACGGUCCAGACUCCUACGGGAGGCAGCAGUGGGGAAUUUUGGACAAUGGGCGCAAGCCUGAUCCAGCAAUGCCGCGUGCAGGAUGAAGGCCUU
RNAcentral lists this ribosomal RNA (387 nucleotides) under uncultured bacterium. RNAcentral's name for it is "bacterial SSU rRNA". It matches the Rfam family "Bacterial small subunit ribosomal RNA", at positions 30 to 418 of the family's 1533-position model. The record is from RNAcentral.